Molecule: long non-coding RNA, 773 nt
Organism: Mesocricetus auratus (golden hamster)
Lineage: Eukaryota; Metazoa; Chordata; Mammalia; Rodentia; Cricetidae
Exons: 2
Source: RefSeq, a predicted model, not a curated record
GCAUGUCUGUUGAGAAAUGGGCCCCUCCCAAGGACCCGACUUUUUGGAAUCUUAUAAAAGGUUCUCUGACCAUACACUCUUCAGUCUUCUGCCUAGCAGGUGGCAAGUUCCAGUUGGAGAACUGAGUGAGCCUUCCCGUGGAGCCAAGGUCUAAUUUGCCUUGACAAACGCCGCGAUGUCUCAGCAGGGCGCCAAAGGCUUUUCCAAAGGGUCUUCCCAGAGCUCCGCCCCCUGCUCCGCCCCGACUCCUGCCCCAGCGCCCUCCUCCUCUUGCUGUGGCCGCGGCUGCUGCGGGGGCGGUGGCUGCUGCGGUGACUCCGGCUGCUGCGGCUCCAGUUCCACCGGCUGCUGCUGCUUUCCCAGGAGGCGCCGCCGGCAGCGCAGUAGCUGCUGCUGCGGAGGAGGAAGCCAACGCUCCUGCAACAACCAGAGCUCUGGCUGCUGCGGUGGCUGCUGAAAGCCCAAGGAGCUGCGCCCAAGCAGCUGGCUUUCUACAGCGGCCCCUCUCUCUGCGGCUCCCACCCUGUCCUCCGUAGUAGUAAUAGGCAGGACCGGUCUUGGAGUUCGGUCCUCCUAACACUUGGAUGCUCAGAAACUUCACGCGCUUCUCAGUCCUGUCCCCUCAUGCUGAUUUUCUUCCCGGGGAAUACACAAGUCAAGGGAGGGACCUCAGACCAUGCUAUGGGCAAGGGGCUUGUGCACAGCAGUGUUCAAAAUUGUUCAGCUGAUUUGAUUGUCCUCCGAAGACGUCAUAAUAAAGCUUCUACCUCCUA